Molecule: long non-coding RNA, 1768 nt
Organism: Nasonia vitripennis (jewel wasp)
Lineage: Eukaryota; Metazoa; Arthropoda; Insecta; Hymenoptera; Pteromalidae
Exons: 3
Source: RefSeq, a predicted model, not a curated record
UACGUUUCUGGUUUCUUUUUUUAUUGUCUAACUAGUGCGCGCGCGAUGAGCUCGCUUUGUUCAAUUUCGCUUCGAGCGUCUUAUUUUUUGGUUCGGCAAUUUAAUCCAAAAAUGAUUUUAAAUUAUGGAAUAAUAAUAUUUGUUGAAUUCGAAAUUUACGCCUCAGAGUAUACGUCGAAAAAAAGUUUGGUUACCGUGGCGACCCAAACCCUCUCAGCACCCGGACUAUAAGCAAGUUUGCAACGAUGUUUACUGUUGUUGUUGUUGCAUUGUUAAAAUUCCAGAGGUUAACGAGGCAGUAUUCCAUAGUUACCACGUUAAAUUUCGUAUACGACCUACUUUGUACACCACAACAUAUCUGCUGUAAUCUCCAAUACGACGACUAAAAGCGCAUGUUAUUCUUCGUGCAAAGCAUCAAGAUAGAGCUGAUAGAUACGACAUAAUUUUUUCGAGUUCACUGCGGACUUGUAUAAAUUAUUCCAGAUACGUAAUCAAAUCCAUCUAUCUUUUCGUAUGCAAAUUCAGAGAGACCUGGGUCACGAAACGUCUUAUCUCAAACUUCAGAAGUUACCUACUUCGGUUAAGCCUCGCAUUUCCAAAAAGCUUUCUUCAAGAUAACGUCCGGAGUUAUUUUUAGGAAACUCGACUUGCAAAAUUGAAACGGGACCAAACAAAAGCAAAAUUGUGCGCUUACCCAGAUGAUUGCAGAGCAGUUCAUGUGUCUCGAGGUCCGGAUAGUCGAAGGUGUCCCUACAGAAGAGCACCCGAGUGCCGGACGUGGCGGUGAAGCCUCCGAGGGCUGCCGCAACGGACGAGCAAAGCCACGACGACUCGGAGCUCUCCAGUCGUCUGAGCAGAGCUCGAUAGCGGCAAUACCUCGGGUACGAGAGGACGACAACUUUGGUCUGGUUGACGGGUUCGCUGCGGCGCGUCGACGUCGUCAGGGCGUCCAGGUCCUUCUGGUGGCGCUCGACGUCCGAGAAAUUGAGUCCGGGAUCCGACAGGAUCUGAGGCUGUGGACUGCUGUCCGGCGAGGAUGACGACGUCGGUGGUAACGAGACUUCGCGACCCCACGACCACUCGAGCGACGGGGAGAGCCAUGUCACCAGGUCGUGCACGCGCACCACUACCUUUUCCGAGAUCGUCAGCACUUCGUCCUGUUGGCAGAAAACAAAAUUUGAUCAAUUACCGAUCGCGCAAUCGCCACGCGAAAACCGUAUAAAAGCAGUUAAACAAGUGGACCUGGCAAGCAAUUCAGAUUGACGGUAUAAACCUGUUCUGUAAAAAAGAAGAGCUUCUUUACAGCAACAAAGGAGCCCUUAAGGCGGGAACAAAGUUUCGCUCUUCAAAAAGAAAAGUUUCAAGACCUUGCUGUGAAAAAAAAAAAUAAUAAAUGACAAUGAGUUGCGCUCAAAGUACGUGUAAUGCCGCAGUUACGUCACUGGAGUAUCGCUGUGUCUUCGCUGACAAUAGGUAUGAGCGAAUACACUUUGAUGAAGUGAAACAACAAUGAAUACGUGUUAUGCCUGGCUUAUUGGUGUACUACGCGGCGUGUAUAGAAGGCGCGGUUAGUUGAAACAUUAGUUGCGCCAGAUGAACGAUCGGGUAUACAAAAAGUGCAGAUAAUGCAAAUAAUGAUGCAUGUGCAUACGGGCGUUACUAUCAAGUAUAGAACUUAUUAUAUAGAGACGAGAGAAUCUUAUCUGUGGCAAUAAUUUACGACUGAGUAAUUGAAUAGUUUUUCUCUCUGCUGGAGAAUGCCAACAAA